UGACCAGAAGCUGAAUUAUAAGCAUCUAGCUGUUAAUUAGAAGGUUGUAGAAGUAAAAUACUACCUGGUCAG
This 72-nucleotide transfer RNA is filed under the name Neritina violacea. Its description in RNAcentral is "tRNA-Asn". Lineage: Eukaryota; Metazoa; Mollusca; Gastropoda; Cycloneritida; Neritidae. The record is from RNAcentral. RNAcentral also lists the same sequence under 1 other name.